GGAAUAUUGGUCAAUGGGCGCGAGCCUGAACCAGCCAAGUAGCGUGCAGGAUGACGGCCCUAUGGGUUGUAAACUGCUUUUAUCAGGGGAUAAAGUGGGGGACGUGUCCCCCUUUGCAGGUACCUGAUGAAUAAGGACCGGCUAAUUCCGUGCCAGCAGCCGCGGUAAUACGGAAGGUCCGGGCGUUAUCCGGAUUUAUUGGGUUUAAAGGGAGCGCAGGCCGGAGGUCAAGCGUGACGUGAAAUGUAGCCGCUCAACGGGUGCACUGCGUCGCGAACUGGUUUCCUUGAGUGAGUACGACGUCAGCGGAAUUCGUGGUGUAGCGGUGAAAUGCUUAGAUAUCACGAAGAACCCCGAUUGCGAAGGCAGCUGACGAGUCCUUUACUGACGCUAAAGCUCGAAGGUGCGGGUAUCGAACA
This 419-nucleotide ribosomal RNA is filed under the name uncultured Prevotella sp. Its description in RNAcentral is "bacterial SSU rRNA". It matches the Rfam family "Bacterial small subunit ribosomal RNA", at positions 358 to 774 of the family's 1533-position model. Lineage: Bacteria; Pseudomonadati; Bacteroidota; Bacteroidia; Bacteroidales; Prevotellaceae. The record is from RNAcentral.